This 254-nucleotide ribosomal RNA is filed under the name uncultured bacterium. RNAcentral describes it as "partial 16S ribosomal RNA". It matches the Rfam family "Bacterial small subunit ribosomal RNA", at positions 524 to 776 of the family's 1533-position model. The record is from RNAcentral.
UACGUAGGGCGCAAGCGUUGUCCGGAAUUAUUGGGCGUAAAGAGCUCGUAGGCGGCCUGUUACGUCUGCUGUGAAAUCCCGGGGCUUAACCCCGGGCGUGCAGUGGAUACGGGCAGGCUGGAGGCAGGCAGGGGAGAACGGAAUUCCCGGUGUAGCGGUGAAAUGCGCAGAGUAUCGGGAGGAACACCGGUGGCGAAGGCGGGUCUCUGGGCCGUAACUGACGCUGAGGAGCGAAAGCGUGGGGAGCGAACAGG